Rattus norvegicus (Norway rat) is the source of this 444-nucleotide non-coding RNA. NCBI's taxonomy places the organism in Eukaryota, Metazoa, Chordata, Mammalia, Rodentia, Muridae. The record is from RefSeq and is a predicted model, not a curated record.
CACCUUUAGACUAGAUAGAUACAUGCACGCUCUUUGUCUUCCCCUCAGAUCUGUUCAACAAGACACUUGGAACAGGACAGCAAGCAGCUCACAUGUUAGUCCUGCAGACUGGUGGUGGAUGCAUAAAGGCAUUUGGAUGCCCAAGGUGCCUAUGUGCUACCCAUGGUACAACACUGAGAUGUGAGUGGUCCCUUCCCAAGAAUUUGCCUGGGGCAUUUGGACACUUAACUUGGUGUUGACCUGUUGGAACAGGGCAGAGACAUGCAACACUCUUUUCUGGUAUUAUAUCAUCUUCUGAAAUCCUGCUGUAAACAUUUGAUUCUGGAAAUCAUGAUCAGUGUGGUCAUAGUGAUGAAGGCUCCCGGGACUUUGUUAUCUGGAUUUUUGAGCAGAAACAGGCAGCUGGCUAUUGCUUCUCCAUUUCCUUCUUGCUUUGCCACCAGU